GUAUCACCCUCAUCAUAUAAAUGGAAGACUGUGAAGGGAUAUGUGGCUCUUGCCUAGUGAGAUGGAAAAUGACAAGGAGUAGUGCUAUUAUCAAGGCUGAUUCCCCACUCUGGCACUUGGAGUGCAGAAGCUACAAUCACAGGGUCUACGUAGAGGUCAAUGAUGGGAGAUGCUCCUUUCUCCCAAAGGUUCUCACCGGAGGAUGCUGAGAGGAAAAGCGCUCCUCACUUCCCUUGUCCAUCAUCCUGUACAGGAGGCCACCAGGAGAGAUUGAAACAGUGCAGGCUGCAAAAUGUGAAUGACACCCAGCCUACCUUCUGACACCUGUCAGUGAGGGAGGAACAGAGCCAGCUUAAAACAACCAAAAGCCACAAUGGAGGCUUAAUGGUUGAGCCAUACUCACCAAUGUACAUUCCAUCAGCCACACCAUCAGAGGCUUGUUCACCAGCACAUCUACCAAUGUGAUAUAUGCCAUCAUGUGCCAGCAAUGCCCCUCUGCCAUGUACACUGGCCAAAC
Long non-coding RNA from Mauremys mutica (yellowpond turtle), 517 nucleotides. RefSeq lists it as uncharacterized. The transcript has 3 exons. The record is from RefSeq and is a predicted model, not a curated record. Lineage: Eukaryota; Metazoa; Chordata; Testudines; Geoemydidae.